CCGCCCCCCCCUCUCCCGGGGGGGUGGCCAGCGCCCGCCAGAGGACCAUCAAACUCCAGUCAGUAAACGAUGCAGUCUGAAAAACAUUUAAUAAACUAAAACUUUCAACAACGGAUCUCUUGGUUCUGGCAUCGAUGAAGAACGCAGCGAAAUGCGAUAAGUAAUGUGAAUUGCAGAAUUCAGUGAAUCAUCGAAUCUUUGAACGCACAUUGCGCCCUUUGGUAUUCCGAAGGGCAUGCCUGUUCGAGCGUCAUUACAACCCUCAAGCUCUGCUUGGUAUUGGGCACCGUCCUUUGCGGGCGCGCCUCAAAGACCUCGGCGGUGGCGUCUUGCCUCAAGCGUAGUAGAACAUACAUCUCGCUUCGGAGCGCAGGGCGUCGCCCGCCGGACGAACCUUCUGAACUUUUCUCAAGGUGACCUCGGAUCAGGUAGGAUGCCCGGUCUU
Molecule: ribosomal RNA, 445 nt
Filed under: fungal sp.
Lineage: Eukaryota; Fungi
Description: eukaryotic LSU rRNA
Rfam family: 5.8S ribosomal RNA (bases 100-253)
Source: RNAcentral